CAAAUAUACAUAGUGAGGCAGAACAAAUUCUCAUACUGGCCAUGUUCAAGACUCUGUCGCGUCGAACUUUUCUGGGCAUUAAAAACAGCUUCAAUAUCCGUCUUUUCUUUUUUUAGGGGGUGGGCAGGCAACAUUACCACUACUUUCUUUCUCCAUUCCUCUCCACCCUCACCCCCACCCCCCAACUCCCGAGGGGGGAAAGAAAAGACAAACAGAGUCUUUGUAACAAACAAGCGGAGCCAAGCCAGACAAAUCCAUCCAGCUGCCAAGUCCAAGAAUGCACGCCUCCUUUUGCGCCUGGCGUCCACCCUGCAGCGCCCCAUCGCAGCAUGGGGCCGCUGGGGUCUGCCCAGCACAGCAGCGAACACGCAGCCAGCGAAUGACUGCUCCCGUCGUGCUCCUCUGCGCGAGCAUUUCAAACUCUCCGCAACAACAACCCGCCCCCGCCCCCGCCUCCGCAGCCAUAACCAGCAACAGGCGAGAGCUGCAUUCCCAUUGGCUGACAGAGGCAGCGCUCCACUCCCAUUGGCCCAUAGGGAGGGCUCCUCCUUCCCAUUGGCAGAGAGCGAUAACUCCGUGCGCCCAUUGGCUAGAAGCAGUCCCAGUCCCGCUCCGGGGCGGGGCUUCCGCCAUUUUGUCUGGGGUGGCGGAAGGAGGAGGUGGAAGAAGGAGGCGGCGGGCGCUGGGAGUGGGGGUAGCAGGCGGUUUUCGCGCCUCUGUCUAGUUCGGUCCGGUCCGGUCCCGUGUGGUCCGCGCGCUCGCCCGCCCGCCGUUUGUCGAGGAGGUGCUGCCGCCGUCUCGCGGAACUCGGAGUCGGUGAGUGGAGCCGGGCUGCCGCCAUGUUGUGGGGAGGUCGGAGUGCGCCUUUGUUGGGGUUCGCGCGGAGCCCGGGGCGCCUCCUUCCGGCUCCGGGGGCCCCCUUGCGAGCGCUUGUGCGCCUUAGAGCCCGAUCGCACGGUCCAGAUGAGGAGGCCGGCGGCCCGCCCGCCUCCGCGCCUUUGCCCUUUGCUGUGUCCUCUCGGCCUCUUCCCCUGCCCAUCCCAUCCCAUCCAGUCUUGUGAGGCCAGGUCACCCCCUGGCCGAAGCCUGGCCGGGCUUGACCCCCGCGCACCCCAUUGCACGCUGUGUGUGUUUAUGCCUCCCGUGCACCCGGCCCUUAGUAGGCCCUUAAUAAAUAAAUGCUUGUUGACUCGCCUGGUGUUGGAAUCAUCUCAUUUGAUCUACACACCAGCCCUGGGAGAGAGGUGCUGUUAUUAUUGUUCCAUAUUUCUCUCUUUACUUUUAAAAACGAUUCAUUAUUUUUAG
This 1305-nucleotide long non-coding RNA is filed under the name Phascolarctos cinereus (koala). RNAcentral describes it as "lncRNA (ENSPCIG00000014277.2)". Lineage: Eukaryota; Metazoa; Chordata; Mammalia; Diprotodontia; Phascolarctidae. The record is from RNAcentral.